RNAcentral lists this ribosomal RNA (19 nucleotides) under Heuchera villosa cf. var. macrorhiza RAF-2014. Its description in RNAcentral is "partial 18S ribosomal RNA". The record is from RNAcentral. Lineage: Eukaryota; Viridiplantae; Streptophyta; Magnoliopsida; Saxifragales; Saxifragaceae.
GACCGCGGAAGGAUCAUUG